This 428-nucleotide ribosomal RNA is filed under the name Bacillota bacterium. RNAcentral describes it as "Firmicutes bacterium partial 16S ribosomal RNA". It matches the Rfam family "Bacterial small subunit ribosomal RNA", at positions 355 to 776 of the family's 1533-position model. The record is from RNAcentral. Lineage: Bacteria; Bacillati; Bacillota.
UGGGGAAUCUUGCGCAAUGGGCGAAAGCCUGACGCAGCGACGCCGCGUGAGGGAAGAAGGCCUUCGGGUUGUAAACCUCUUUUAAGAGGGAAGAAGCCACUCGGGUGAAUAGCCCAGAGGGUGACGGUACCUCUAGAAUAAGCCCCGGCUAACUACGUGCCAGCAGCCGCGGUAAUACGUAGGGGGCAAGCGUUGUCCGGAUUUACUGGGCGUAAAGAGCGUGUAGGCGGCCAGACAGGUCCGUUGUGAAAACUGGAGGCUCAACCUCCAGACGUCGACGGAAACCGUCUGGCUAGAGUCCGGAAGAGGAGAGUGGAAUUCCUGGUGUAGCGGUGAAAUGCGCAGAUAUCAGGAAGAACACCGAUGGCGAAGGCAGCUCUCUGGGACGGUACUGACGCUGAGACGCGAAAGCGUGGGGAGCGAACAGG